UACGAAGGGGGCUAGCGUUGCUCGGAAUCACUGGGCGUAAAGCGCACGUAGGCGGCUUCUUAAGUCAGGGGUGAAAUCCUGGAGCUCAACUCCAGAACUGCCUUUGAUACUGGGAGGCUCGAGUCCGGGAGAGGUGAGUGGAACUGCGAGUGUAGAGGUGAAAUUCGUAGAUAUUCGCAAGAACACCAGUGGCGAAGGCGGCUCACUGGCCCGGUACUGACGCUGAGGUGCGAAAGCGUGGGGAGCAAACAGGG
Molecule: ribosomal RNA, 254 nt
Filed under: uncultured bacterium
Lineage: Bacteria
Description: partial 16S ribosomal RNA
Rfam family: Bacterial small subunit ribosomal RNA
Source: RNAcentral